Molecule: long non-coding RNA, 534 nt
Organism: Mesocricetus auratus (golden hamster)
Lineage: Eukaryota; Metazoa; Chordata; Mammalia; Rodentia; Cricetidae
Exons: 2
Source: RefSeq, a predicted model, not a curated record
UUGGGCCAGUUUUCAAAAAACACAGAGAUCGGAGGAAACCCCAAAGCCCUGAACUAAAAGGGUUGUACAUCAAAGGGGAAUAAGGGGAUCAGAAGUCUGGAGGAAAGACAUGCUGGGGAGACUCUGCUGUGCCCAUCUCAGAGAAGCUCACAGAUGCCCUGAAGACAGCAACCUCCAUGAAUGAAUUUGAAACGAACCCUGCUCUCAAGCCAGCCCUGGGUUUUCAGUUUCAUUGAGAGAUCUCUGUGUAAGCUGGAUAUAGUGGCAUGUGCUUGCAGUUUUAACACCAGAGCAGCUGAUACAGGAGGCUCUCAAGAGCGAGACCAGCUUGAACUACACGGGGAGAUCGUGUCUCCAAAAACUAAAAAAGGAGAACAAGUGGCAAGCAUCUUCAGGUUAGCCCACCAACGUAUCGUCACACAGCAGUGUGGACCUUGCCAGAUUUAACCUGCAUAGCAGAGGAGGGCUUCAGCUCAUGUGGGGUCAUGUUUCACAGCUUGUUAUGCUUCCAAUACUGAAAUAUUCCCGGCUCAA